RNAcentral lists this unclassified non-coding RNA (343 nucleotides) under fungal sp. RNAcentral's name for it is "partial internal transcribed spacer region". The stretch from base 1 to 46 matches the Rfam family "Eukaryotic small subunit ribosomal RNA", at positions 1786 to 1831 of the family's 1831-position model. Lineage: Eukaryota; Fungi. The record is from RNAcentral.
AAGUCGUAACAAGGUAACCGUAGGUGAACCUGCGGUUGGAUCAUUAAUGAAGGCUUUUAUGCCAAACCAGCUUUUUUAAGCUGACCCACCUUGUGUGAACCGUUAAAAUGUUUUUAGGCGGAGAGGGUUUUUUAAGUUGGGGUUUGAAUACUUCUUCUUCUUUAAUCCAAAGUCUUUAAUUAGAUAACAUCUCCGCCUACUGCUAUUUUCUUGAAAAAGAAGAUGGCAAAACAAAAACAAACCUUUUAUUGUCUUUCAAAUUAUAAAUCUAAACAAAUUUUUACAUUCUAAAAUAAAAUUUCGAAUGAAAAAACAACUUUUGACAACGGAUCUCUUGGCUCUG